UACGAAGGGUGCAACGUUGCUCGGAAUUAUUGGGCGUAAAGCGCACGUAGGCGGCUUUGCAAGUCGGAUGUGAAAUCCCUCGGCUUAACCAAGGAAGUGCAUCCGAAACUGCAGAGCUUGAGUACUUAAGAGGAUCGCGGAAUUCCCGGUGUAGAGGUGAAAUUCGUAGAUAUCAGGAGGAACACCGGUGGUGUAGACGGCUUUCUGGACCGUAACUGACGCUGAGACACGAAAGCGUGGGUAGCAAACAGG
This 252-nucleotide ribosomal RNA is filed under the name uncultured bacterium. RNAcentral's name for it is "partial 16S ribosomal RNA". It matches the Rfam family "Bacterial small subunit ribosomal RNA", at positions 524 to 776 of the family's 1533-position model. The record is from RNAcentral.